GCCCAGCUAGCUCAGUCGGUAGAGCAUGAGACUCUUAAUCUCAUGGUCGUGGGUUCGAGCCCCACCUUGUGUCA
Cavia porcellus (domestic guinea pig) is the source of this 74-nucleotide non-coding RNA. Lineage: Eukaryota; Metazoa; Chordata; Mammalia; Rodentia; Caviidae. The record is from the annotation of a RefSeq genome assembly.